GGGGAAUAUUGCACAAUGGGCGAAAGCCUGAUGCAGCAACGCCGCGUGAGUGAUGACGGUCUUCGGAUUGUAAAGCACUUUCGCCGGGGACGAUGAUGACGGUACCCGUAGAAGAAGCCCCGGCUAACUUCGUGCCAGCAGCCGCGGUAAUACGAAGGGGGCUAGCGUUGCUCGGAAUGACUGGGCGUAAAGGGCGUGUAGGCGGUUUACACAGUCAGAUGUGAAAUCCCCGGGCUUAACCUGGGAGCCGCAUUUGAUACGUGUAGACUAGAGUGUGAGAGAGGGUUGUGGAAUUCCCAGUGUAGAGGUGAAAUUCGUAGAUAUUGGGAAGAACACCGGUGGCGAAGGCGGCAACCUGGCUCAUUACUGACGCUGAGGCGCGAAAGCGUGGGGAGCAAAC
Molecule: ribosomal RNA, 400 nt
Filed under: uncultured bacterium
Lineage: Bacteria
Description: bacterial SSU rRNA
Rfam family: Bacterial small subunit ribosomal RNA
Source: RNAcentral